GCACUGCUGAGGAGUCCCAUACCAGCACGAAACGGCCGUCCAGUGC
Molecule: non-coding RNA, 46 nt
Organism: Schistosoma margrebowiei
Lineage: Eukaryota; Metazoa; Platyhelminthes; Trematoda; Strigeidida; Schistosomatidae
Source: Rfam